UUCGCAAUGCCCGAAAGGGUGCCGAUGCGACGCCGCGUGAGCGAAGAAGGCCCUAGGGUUGUAAAGCUCUGUCGAGGGUUAUGAAAUAUAGAUGGGUUAAUACCCCAUUUAUUUGACAAAAGCCCAAAAGGAAGCCACGGCUAACUCUGUGCCAGCAGCCGCGGUAAUACAGAGGUGGCGAGCGUUGUUCGGUAUUAUUGGGCGUAAAGAGCACGUAGGUGGUUUUGUAAGUCAGGUGUGAAAGCCUUCUGUUCAAAGGAAGAACGGCAUCUGAAACUGCAGAUCUUGAGUGUAGGAGGGGAGAGUGGAACUUCUGGUGGAGCGGUGAAAUGCGUAGAUAUCAGAAGGAACGCCGGCGGCGAAAGCGACUCUCUGGCCUAUUACUGACACUGAGGUGCGAAAGUUAGGGGAGCAAACGGGAUUAGAUACCCCGGUAGUCCUAACCGUAAACGAUGGGCACUAAGUAGAGGGGUUUU
This 476-nucleotide ribosomal RNA is filed under the name uncultured anaerobic ammonium-oxidizing bacterium. RNAcentral's name for it is "bacterial SSU rRNA". It matches the Rfam family "Bacterial small subunit ribosomal RNA", at positions 365 to 832 of the family's 1533-position model. The record is from RNAcentral.